AUGGAUCUGCACAGGUUCAAGUGAUAUGGAGUCCUAGCACUGAGAGGUGGAGAUGGACAUGAACUCCUAACACUUAACUACUUACAAAAGAAACAUGAGUUUUCUCCGAUUGAGUCUUACGGGGUAUAUUAACUGCACUUCAGGGUUAACACUUGACUCAAGAAUUAAUACCGUGCAAUAACUGGAAGCAAUUACCCUGAGCUCCUGUCUGAGGUGUCUCCUUCAGAAACCCCCUAUCUCAUCCACUCUCCUCCAGCCUCUUUUAAAGACAUGAUAUAUAUUUUAACCAAAACCUUAUUUAGAGAAUGAAUGGAUAUGCACACUUCGAAAGAAUCGUCAUGCAACAAAAUGAUGUCAUUUUGGAGAAAAAUGUUCUGGAGAGAUGGGCGUCUGUGUUCUCAGUUUUCUCUAUGCACACAUACUGUACAGACAUUUCUUCAGUAAAAUGUCCAGACAAACUGAAUCUUCAACACCCAAAGUUGUUUCUUACAUUUCUAGUUGUUGGCUCCCUCCCUCCUGCCUCAGUCAGCUAGCAGCAUCAGAGCUGACAGAGCUGACAGCCUGAGACUGUCAGCUCACACCUGCUGGACCUAAAACAAUGGCCCACUACACUGAGCUUUGCCUUGGAGGAUUUCGGAAGAAGCUACACCUGGUUGCUGACACACCCACUGCCUGAGGACAGUGCUGAAUGUAAACAAACUAGACUGACUGAGAACUGAAUCUGCAGAGACCUUGACAUCUCCACAUCAGAGAACUGUGUUUACGUUAUAGAUAUACUUUGUGCCUAGAGAUUUUCGGUUUCAUUUUGUGCCUGCCUAUAAAAGCUCAAAACACCCCCAAGUAAAUUGAUGCCUUGAUAGAACUCUA
This is a long non-coding RNA of Mastomys coucha (southern multimammate mouse), 867 nucleotides long. RefSeq lists it as uncharacterized. The transcript is spliced from 5 exons. NCBI's taxonomy places the organism in Eukaryota, Metazoa, Chordata, Mammalia, Rodentia, Muridae. The record is from RefSeq and is a predicted model, not a curated record.